UACAGAGGUCUCGAGCGUUGUUCGGAUUCAUUGGGCGUAAAGGGUGCGUAGGCGGCGGGGUAAGUCUGAUGUGAAAUCCCGGGGCUCAACCCCGGAACUGCAUUGGAUACUGCUCUGCUUGAGUACUGGAGAGGAGACUGGAAUUUACGGUGUAGCAGUGAAAUGCGUUGAGAUCGGAAGGAACGCCCGUGGCGAAAGCGGCGCGCUGGAUCCCUACUGACGCUGAGGCACGAAAGCCAGGGGAGCAAACGGG
Molecule: ribosomal RNA, 253 nt
Filed under: uncultured bacterium
Lineage: Bacteria
Description: partial 16S ribosomal RNA
Rfam family: Bacterial small subunit ribosomal RNA
Source: RNAcentral